AGGAAGAGGAGGAAGAGAAGGAGGAAGAGAAGGAGGAAGAGGAGGUGAAGGAACAGGAAAAGGAAGAAGAGAAGAAGGAGGAAGAUGAUGAAUGCAGAAUGUAUUGGGUAUCCGAACUGACCUGCCCAAGUGAAACGAAACACGUCUGUAGCACGGAGAACAAAACGUAUAGCAGUUUAUGCAUGCUGUGUUUUGCAAAACAGCACAAGAAGGAAAUUAAUAUGGCGCAUGAAGGCAAAUGCAAGGAAAUGGUACCUAUUCAUUUUAUGUUCAGAACUUGCUUCCCUUUUCAAAUAAUUACUUGACCAUUGGUUUGAGUCCUGCCCUCCAGAGGAGGAGAAAACAAGCUUGUUCCCUUUUCCACAUGAGAUAUGUGAAGAUGGCUGUCAUAUAACUUCCCAGUCUCCUCUUUUUAUGCUAAACAUACCCAGUUUCCUCAACUGUUCCUCAUAA
Podarcis raffonei (Aeolian wall lizard) is the source of this 453-nucleotide long non-coding RNA. RefSeq lists it as uncharacterized. The record is from RefSeq and is a predicted model, not a curated record. Lineage: Eukaryota; Metazoa; Chordata; Lepidosauria; Squamata; Lacertidae. The transcript has 3 exons.